GACGAACGCUGGCGGCGUGCUUAACACAUGCAAGUCGAGCGGUAAGGCCCUUCGGGGUACACGAGCGGCGAACGGGUGAGUAACACGUGGGUGAUCUGCCUCGCACUCUGGGAUAAGCCUGGGAAACUGGGUCUAAUACCGGAUAUGACCGCGAAUCGCAUGGUUUGUGGUGGAAAGAUUUAUCGGUGCGAGAUGGGCCCGCGGCCUAUCAGCUUGUUGGUGGGGUAAUGGCCUACCAAGGCGACGACGGGUAGCCGGCCUGAGAGGGCGACCGGCCACACUGGGACUGAGACACGGCCCAGACUCCUACGGGAGGCAGCAGUGGGGAAUAUUGCACAAUGGGCGGAAGCCUGAUGCAGCGACGCCGCGUGAGGGAUGACGGCCUUCGGGUUGUAAACCUCUUUCGACAGGGACGAAGCGCAAGUGACGGUACCUGUAGAAGAAGCACCGGCCAACUACGUG
This 462-nucleotide ribosomal RNA is filed under the name Nocardia kruczakiae. RNAcentral describes it as "bacterial SSU rRNA". It matches the Rfam family "Bacterial small subunit ribosomal RNA", at positions 28 to 507 of the family's 1533-position model. The record is from RNAcentral. Lineage: Bacteria; Bacillati; Actinomycetota; Actinomycetes; Mycobacteriales; Nocardiaceae.